This is a long non-coding RNA of Triticum urartu, 979 nucleotides long. RefSeq lists it as uncharacterized. NCBI's taxonomy places the organism in Eukaryota, Viridiplantae, Streptophyta, Magnoliopsida, Poales, Poaceae. The record is from RefSeq and is a predicted model, not a curated record.
CGCAGCGCCCCCACUGUCCCCGCCGCACCCCCAUCUCUUCCGCCUCCCGAUCUCAACCAUUCCACCUCCCCACCACCGGGAUCCAGCCAACGGCGAGUCAGCGACCGCCAUCAACCCACCUCCCCGCCGCCGGGAUCCAGCCACCCAGCGCGCCGGCGCCGCCUUGAACCCCACAGGCACCUCAUGUGCCGCCGUCACGUCUCCUUCACCGUCGCUAGCGAGCGCACCGCCGCCACAACCACCGCCUCUCGAGAGCGCCGGCGCGCACGGAUCCGGCAGGAUCCCGACCGAAGCGGGCCACCCCUGCACCCCCCGGUGACGCCCACCCCCCUGCGCACCGCCUCCUGGACCUCCCGGCGUCGCUCAACCCUCUCCAUCUCCCAUUGAUGUGCCGCCACCUCCACCUCCCACCGGCGCGCUGCCCCUCCCCAUAAGCGCCACCACUUCACGCCCCCACACCGCUGCCCCUGCUUCAGCUCCACCCGUCGCCGCAGUCCAACAUCUCCAACUUGAGCCGUUCGCCGCUGCUGCUUGAUGUGAUGCAUUGCUUUCCAACAGACAUCGACCCAAUGACCCGAGUCAAGGUCCAGCUUGCCAACUCCAGCAUCCUCUCUGCACUGUGGAACAUGAAACUCUUUGGAAGCUGUCGGUUGUCACUGAAAGCACAGGCUUAAAUCAUGUAUGCUGUACACAGGAGUGAAGUUCAGUUUGCCGGAGAAAGAGGCGUUGCCACGACCGAUGCUGGCUGUUCGUGCAUGGAAGUCCGUGUAUUCUGUUUGAAAACCUGGGAGCAUGCCCAAAACGUUCAGAAAUAUCAAUGACAGAAGUUCGAAUAUAGGGAGGUUGAUGCUUUGUGUGUGUGUAUACAUUUUUAGGGGAUCCUGUGUUUGUAUACAUGGCAGCACAAUUGUUUGUGCAUGAUAUGUAGUUCUACAAUAGCAGUUGAAUAAGGAAACAAUUUCUUUUGGCAUUUUCUUCA